This 846-nucleotide ribosomal RNA is filed under the name Vreelandella aquamarina. RNAcentral's name for it is "bacterial SSU rRNA". It matches the Rfam family "Bacterial small subunit ribosomal RNA", at positions 543 to 1388 of the family's 1533-position model. The record is from RNAcentral. Lineage: Bacteria; Pseudomonadati; Pseudomonadota; Gammaproteobacteria; Oceanospirillales; Halomonadaceae.
AAUCGGAAUUACUGGGCGUAAAGCGCGCGUAGGUGGCUUGAUAAGCCGGUUGUGAAAGCCCCGGGCUCAACCUGGGAACGGCAUCCGGAACUGUCAAGCUAGAGUGCAGGAGAGGAAGGUAGAAUUCCCGGUGUAGCGGUGAAAUGCGUAGAGAUCGGGAGGAAUACCAGUGGCGAAGGCGGCCUUCUGGACUGACACUGACACUGAGGUGCGAAAGCGUGGGUAGCAAACAGGAUUAGAUACCCUGGUAGUCCACGCCGUAAACGAUGUCGACCAGCCGUUGGGUGCCUAGCGCACUUUGUGGCGAAGUUAACGCGAUAAGUCGACCGCCUGGGGAGUACGGCCGCAAGGUUAAAACUCAAAUGAAUUGACGGGGGCCCGCACAAGCGGUGGAGCAUGUGGUUUAAUUCGAUGCAACGCGAAGAACCUUACCUACUCUUGACAUCCUGCGAAUUUGGUAGAGAUACCUUAGUGCCUUCGGGAACGCAGAGACAGGUGCUGCAUGGCUGUCGUCAGCUCGUGUUGUGAAAUGUUGGGUUAAGUCCCGUAACGAGCGCAACCCUUGUCCUUAUUUGCCAGCGCGUAAUGGCGGGAACUCUAAGGAGACUGCCGGUGACAAACCGGAGGAAGGUGGGGACGACGUCAAGUCAUCAUGGCCCUUACGAGUAGGGCUACACACGUGCUACAAUGGUCGGUACAAAGGGUUGCCAACUCGCGAGAGUGAGCCAAUCCCGAAAAGCCGAUCUCAGUCCGGAUCGGAGUCUGCAACUCGACUCCGUGAAGUCGGAAUCGCUAGUAAUCGUGGAUCAGAAUGCCACGGUGAAUACGUUCCCGGGCCUUGUACAC